Molecule: ribosomal RNA, 292 nt
Filed under: uncultured bacterium
Lineage: Bacteria
Description: partial 16S ribosomal RNA
Rfam family: Bacterial small subunit ribosomal RNA
Source: RNAcentral
GUUUCAGCAGCCGCGGUAAUACGAAGGUGGCAAGCGUUACUCGGAAUUACUAGGCGUAAAGGGCAGGUAGGUGGUUUGGUAAGUCUGUUGUGAAAGCUCCCGGCUUAACUGGGAGAGGUCAACAGAAACUACCAGGCUUGAGUGUGGGAGAGGAUACUGGAAUUCCCGGUGUAGCGGUGAAAUGCGCAGAGAUCGGGAGGAACACCUAUGGCGAAAGCAGGUAUCUGGACCACUACUGACACUCAGCUGCGAAAGCUAGGGGAGCAAACAGGAUUAGAAACCCCCGUAGUCC